Molecule: ribosomal RNA, 253 nt
Filed under: uncultured bacterium
Lineage: Bacteria
Description: partial 16S ribosomal RNA
Rfam family: Bacterial small subunit ribosomal RNA
Source: RNAcentral
GACAGAGGGUGCAAACGUUGUUCGGAAUUACUGGGCGUAAAGCGCGCGUAGGCGGACCUGCAAGUCGGGGGUGAAAGCCCGAGGCUCAACCUCGGAACUGCCUUCGAUACUGCGGGUCUCGAGUCCGGGAGAGGUGAGUGGAAUUCCUAGUGUAGAGGUGAAAUUCGUAGAUAUUAGGAAGAACACCAGUGGCGAAGGCGGCUCACUGGCCCGGUACUGACGCUGAGGCGCGAAAGCGUGGGUAGCAAACAGG